This is a long non-coding RNA of Magnolia sinica, 1038 nucleotides long. RefSeq lists it as uncharacterized. The record is from RefSeq and is a predicted model, not a curated record. NCBI's taxonomy places the organism in Eukaryota, Viridiplantae, Streptophyta, Magnoliopsida, Magnoliales, Magnoliaceae. The transcript is spliced from 2 exons.
GACGAUUAUUUCCUCUUUGCUUUCCCUUUUUGUGUUUUGUAUUUUUUUGAUUUUUCUCUGGUAAAUGCAAUUGUUGAAUCAAAGGGAAUGUAGUUUCAAGUGAUGGUCUUAGGUGAAUCUUUGUUCUUCUUCCAGUAGCUUUUGGCAAUCUAAACUGUUCUUAUGUUGGGUCCUGUUGUGGAUGGAGGGAGGAUUCACCAAAAAUCUUUUCGAUGAUACAGUCUGAUUGGGCUAGUCUUUUUUAUUUUUUUUUUAUAAAAAAAUUUUAACCUACCCUUUUACUUUUCCAUUUGUUAUGUGGACCAUUGUUAGUAAAUUUGUAAUUGACCAUUUGCAGCAAACAAUCAGAUGUGAAGUAUUGGGUUAUGACACAUGAUGGGGUCUGCUAGAGAUUUCCAAAAGAAGUGAUCCUGGAGUAUUUCGUGCUUCCAGCACCAACGUGUCUUUAGUUUUCUAAAUUACUGAAGACUAGCUAUGAGAUCUCUUAAGUGAGCACUAGCCCUGGCAGUUCGAUACCCUGGCCAAAAGACGUACCUUGAUCUUUGGUGGGCAGAAGGUCAUAAAACUUUGGUCAAUGUACCAUUUAAAAAGCAGACCUAAAUUGUUGGAGACAUGAUAAGAUAAAGAUUAUGACUAUGAUGAUGAUGGUGAUGGUAGUGGUGGUGAUGAUGGUGACGUGAUGAGUGUUGGAUCUCUUAAGAGCACAGUGUGUACUUGUUUUGCUCUUAUUUGUGAAGUUGAUGAAAAUGCCCCUCCAACACAUGAGCGCUUGCCCUGGCAGUUCCAUAACCUGGGUAAAAUGGGAAUUUGGAUCUUGGCUAGGUAGUAGGUUGUAAAACUUUGGUUAACCUACCAUUUAAAAGACAAACUUAAGUUUUUGGGAGGUGUGAUGUGAUAAUGAUGUUGAUGAUAGUCGAAUCUCUAAAGCACAUAUUGUCUACUUGUUUUGCUCUUGUAUGUGAAGUUGAUGAAAUUUGCCUCACCAACAUAUGCAUUGAAGUUGUGUUAGUGGUGAACUUUAUUUCGACUUUCUUAUGG